UUUAACUUUGGUCCAAAGUGUCCAUAUUCACAGUUUAAUUGAGACGAAGAUAAGUUUCUGUUCAUGUGCAUAGUAGUGUUGAAGGAACCCAAUGAGUGAAUGUUCCUGCUGCUUUGCAGGAUUUCAGAUACAGUUACUAACUACUUUCUUCGGCAUUUUUGACACUUUGUUAAUUAUUUAUGGGAUGUGUCUUUCAGGACUAAUGCGGAGCCUCCAAUCUAUUAUUUGCCUAACAAGCCACUAGAGGAAGAUGCAACCUUACUUGAGCAACAAAAAGAGCAGGUUAUUUUCCUGCUGUGUUUAGGCCUAUUGGCUGAUAUGAAAGCGUUUUAGAUAUUAUAGCAACUUCAUUCUCUUUUUAUUAAUAAAACACUGAAUACCUAGAGAGGUGGUCUAUUUUUUAUGCUCUAUUAGCAACAUUAAUUUUCAAAUCCCAUUUUUAUAGAAUGGGCAGGGAUUGUGUGUAUCGGCAUAGUGCUACAAAUAAAUGCGCUGUCACCGAAAGAGUUCCCUGCUAAAGAAAAAUCAGCUGAGGGAGAUGGGCAGUUGUGCUUCAUCUGACUUGUUGGGAGUUUCAAUAAUCAUCUUCCUCAUAUUACAUUUUUAUCCUACUCUAUUGCUUAAGAGAUGGAUUUUUUUUUAAAGAAUUCUUUUCUAUUCCAAUCUUCUCUUCUUUUCGGCCGUCCUCAGAUGCAUGAGGGAGUGGUGGUGGUCUGGAAUGUUUUUGAACAGUCAUAUUCCAUUAGGUUUGUGCAGAAUGUAUCAUACAGUAUGUUCAUCACAUUUCAGACAUUGUCGGAAUGGAAGGCUACUAGGAGAGAGGAACUGUCUGAAUAUCAGAAGCAGAUUGCAGAACAGUACCUUGGUAAUGUUGAAAAGGAUUUAGAAAGGUGGCAAAAUGCGAGGAAAGCAAGGAGACCAAACAAUGACGCAAAUUUACAAGAGACAAUGGACAAAGAAUUAGACACCCAUAGGCUUGAGCACGGUCCCAAGACAAGAAAGAUCCCCGGGGGAAGCAACAACGAAGAUGAGGAGGAUGUGGAGGAUAUCAAUGUUGGGGAAGAUGACAUGAUGGAUGAUGUGCUGGUAGUUGAUGACAAUGUUAGAAGGGACGAUGAAGCAGCCAAGCCUGAAACUGGUAGCACUAGCGGCAGUGCACC
Molecule: long non-coding RNA, 1160 nt
Filed under: Manihot esculenta (cassava)
Lineage: Eukaryota; Viridiplantae; Streptophyta; Magnoliopsida; Malpighiales; Euphorbiaceae
Description: long non-coding RNA (MESC_LNC006253)
Rfam family: small nucleolar RNA snoR135 (bases 448-598)
Source: RNAcentral